AGCAGCCGCGGUAAUUCCAGCUCCAAUAGCGUAUAUUAAAGUUGUUGCAGUUAAAAAGCUCGUAGUUGAAUUUCGGGAUUGGCGCAUCGGUCGUGCCUCACGGGGUAUGAACUGGUGCAGUUAAUUUCUCACCUUCUGGAGAACCGCGAUGUCCUUAAUUGGAUGCCGCGGGGAACCAGGACCUUUACUUUGAAAAAAUUAGAGUGUUUAAAGCAGGCAUUUUUGCUUGAAUACAUUAGCAUGGAAUAAUAAAAUAGGACGGCAUGGUUCUAUUUUGUUGGUUUCUAGGACCACCGUAAUGAUUAAUAGGGAUAGUUGGGGGCAUUAGUAUUCAAUUGUCAGAGGUGAAAUUCUUGGAUUUAUUGAAGACUAACUACUGCGAAAGCAUUUGCCAAGGAUGUUUUCAUUAAUCAAGAACGAAAGUUAGGGGAUCGAAGACGAUCAGAUACCGUCGUAGUCUUAACCAUAAACUAUGCCGACUAGGAAUCAGACGAUGUUAAUUUUUAAUGACUCGUUGGCU
RNAcentral lists this unclassified non-coding RNA (520 nucleotides) under uncultured Entrophospora. Its description in RNAcentral is "SSU rRNA". It matches the Rfam family "Eukaryotic small subunit ribosomal RNA", at positions 569 to 1085 of the family's 1831-position model. Lineage: Eukaryota; Fungi; Glomeromycota; Glomeromycetes; Entrophosporales; Entrophosporaceae. The record is from RNAcentral.